AUGCCUUCAAUUCAUUAGGAGCCGCCCACUUGGUAAAACUUGGUCACUGAUCAGAGUAGUGGCUGGUUGGGUAGUUAACAACACCUCCUUGAAGCAAGUAUGAACAAGUUUACCCUCUUCUUAAGGCACAUGAUUUUGAAAAUGUUAUACCUUUGUUGUGUACAUAUAUAUUUUUCAGCAAGUCUGUGUUUAGAGUUCAAACCUUAGAAGACCAUUGACCCUUUUGUGAACUCAUUCAUGAGUUUAGGCACAUGAUUUUGAAAAUG
This 266-nucleotide long non-coding RNA is filed under the name Glycine max (soybean). RNAcentral describes it as "long non-coding RNA (GMAX_LNC000056)". Lineage: Eukaryota; Viridiplantae; Streptophyta; Magnoliopsida; Fabales; Fabaceae. The record is from RNAcentral.